This 332-nucleotide unclassified non-coding RNA is filed under the name Hevea brasiliensis (rubber tree). Lineage: Eukaryota; Viridiplantae; Streptophyta; Magnoliopsida; Malpighiales; Euphorbiaceae. The record is from RNAcentral.
UUUAUUUAUUUAUUUAUUUUUCCAGGAGAAUGAACAUGAGACAUAGCUCAACUUUUCCUAGUAGAUACAACGGUAUAUACUACAAAUCUACUGCCUGUGCCAUCUUCUGUAUAGGGCAAUGUAAAGUGCCAUUCCUCUUUUUUUUUUUUGUAUUUUUAAAGCAAACUAAUAGUUCUUACGAUGCAACAAUGUUCCUAGAUGUUACAUUUUAAAGAAAUAUGAAGCCAAAAAGAGUAUUAGAAAUUACCUGGUGUUUCCUUCGAGGCUUCAUGAUGAUGAAUUUCUGCUAGUGAUUCAAUCCUCCCCUCAGCUUGAACCUGAGAAAGAUCUCU